This 450-nucleotide ribosomal RNA is filed under the name uncultured bacterium. Its description in RNAcentral is "bacterial SSU rRNA". It matches the Rfam family "Bacterial small subunit ribosomal RNA", at positions 355 to 825 of the family's 1533-position model. The record is from RNAcentral.
UAGGGAAUAUUGCACAAUGGGGGAAACCCUGAUGCAGCGACGCCGCGUGAGUGAUGAAGGCCUUCGGGUCGUAAAGCUCUGUCGUAUGGGACUAACAAAAUGAAGGUACCAUGCAAGAAAGGAUCGGCUAACUUCGUGCCAGCAGCCGCGGUAAGACGAGGGAUCCUAGCGUUGUUCGGAAUUAUUGGGCGUAAAGCGGGUGUAGGCGGACUUAUAAGUCAGGUGUGAAAUCCCAGGGCUCAACCCUGGAAGUGCACUUGAUACUGCAAGUCUUGAGUGUGGUAGAGGCCAUUAGAAUUCCUGGUGUAGUGGUGAAAUACGUAGAUAUCAGGAGGAAUACCGGAGGCGAAGGCGGAUAGCUGGGCCAACACUGACGCUGAGACCCGAAAGCGUGGGGAUCAAACAGGAUUAGAUACCCCAGUAGUCCCUGAGCGGGCUGGCAAGGCGCAU